UACGGGGGGCAGCAGUGGGGAAUUUUGGACAAUGGGGGCAACCGUGAUCCAGCAAUGCCGCGUGUGUGAAGAAGGCCUUCGGGUUGUAAAGCACUUUUGUCCGGAAAGAAAACCGCUUCUCUAAUACAGAGGCGGGAUGACGGUACCGGAAGAAUAAGCACCGGCUAAUUUCGUGCCAGAAGCUGCGGUAAUACGAAGGUUCCGAGGGUUAAUCGGAAUUACUGGGCGUAAAGCGUGCGCAGGCGGAUCGCUAAGACUGAUGUGAAAUCCCCGGGCUUAACCUGGGAACUGCAUUGGUGACUGGCGGGCUAGAGUAGGGCAGAGGGGGGU
This 330-nucleotide ribosomal RNA is filed under the name uncultured Burkholderia sp. Its description in RNAcentral is "bacterial SSU rRNA". It matches the Rfam family "Bacterial small subunit ribosomal RNA", at positions 340 to 662 of the family's 1533-position model. Lineage: Bacteria; Pseudomonadati; Pseudomonadota; Betaproteobacteria; Burkholderiales; Burkholderiaceae. The record is from RNAcentral.